Molecule: unclassified non-coding RNA, 222 nt
Filed under: Leucogyrophana mollusca
Lineage: Eukaryota; Fungi; Basidiomycota; Agaricomycetes; Boletales
Description: partial internal transcribed spacer 2
Source: RNAcentral
AAUUCUCAACCCCUUUGGUUUCGCAAGAAGUCGAAGUGGGCUUGGACAGUGGGUUUGCUGGUGACUUUCGGGUCGUCGGCUCUCCUUAAAUGCAUUGGCGGAGGCGAUGGCAUGAUAACGUCCUUCGGUGUGAUAAUGAUCGCCGUGGAUGGAAGUGUCCAGUUCACCUGUGCCUUUAACAGCCCUUUUGUGGCCGCCCCUCGGGGUGAUAGCUUUUGAACC